Molecule: long non-coding RNA, 209 nt
Filed under: Musa acuminata (dwarf banana)
Lineage: Eukaryota; Viridiplantae; Streptophyta; Magnoliopsida; Zingiberales; Musaceae
Description: long non-coding RNA (MACU_LNC000576)
Source: RNAcentral
UUCAUAUAUUGCUGCAUAAACUUUUCAUCAAAAAGUUUUCAUCUCUACAAUGAAAGAUACAUUGCAGAAUUCCAGCCGCAUAGCACCAUCUGUUUGAUCUUGCUACUGUGCUUUUUCUAUCCAAAUUUCUACGAAAUUUUUAUGACAUCUUUGACACUUCCUAACAGUGGAUUUUCUUUUAGUUUCAUUGAAAAAUUCUCAAUAUAAAC